AAGUUUGAGCAGUGGCAGUAUUGUAACCAAUGAGGUUUAUCCAAGGUGCAAUUUUUGCUAGUUGAAAAGAAGACCAUGACACCCAGGUGUACUCUAAAUGUGUACUUGAAAAUGUGUAUAGAGAAAGGUUGU
RNAcentral lists this small nuclear RNA (132 nucleotides) under Cavia porcellus (domestic guinea pig). RNAcentral's name for it is "U4 spliceosomal RNA". It matches the Rfam family "U4 spliceosomal RNA". Rfam says of the family: U4 small nuclear RNA (U4 snRNA) is a component of the major U2-dependent spliceosome. The record is from Rfam by way of RNAcentral. Lineage: Eukaryota; Metazoa; Chordata; Mammalia; Rodentia; Caviidae.